This is a non-coding RNA of Hordeum vulgare subsp. vulgare (domesticated barley), 124 nucleotides long. The record is from Rfam. Lineage: Eukaryota; Viridiplantae; Streptophyta; Magnoliopsida; Poales; Poaceae.
UAUAUACUCCCUCCACCUGAAAAUACUUGUCGGAUAAAUAGAUAUAUCUAGAUGUACUUUAGUUUUAGAUAUAUCUAUUUUUAUCCAUUUUGCGACAAAUAAUUUUAGACGGAGGGAGUACAUG